UUACUGGCUCAGGAUGAACGCUGGCGGCGUGCUUAACACAUGCAAGUCGAGCGAAGCGGUUUAAAUGAAGUUUCGGAUGGAAUUAAACUGACUGAGCGGCGGACGGGUGAGUAACGCGUGGGUAACCUGCCUCAUACAGGGGGAUAACAGUUGGAAACGACUGCUAAUACCGCAUAAGCACACAGUGCCGCAUGGUACGGUGUGAAAAGCUCCGGUGGUAUGAGAUGGACCCGCGUCUGAUUAGGUAGUUGGUGAGGUAACGGCCCACCAAGCCGACGAUCAGUAGCCGACCUGAGAGGGUGACCGGCCACAUUGGGACUGAGACACGGCCCAAACUCCUACGGGAGGCAGCAGUGGGGAAUAUUGGACAAUGGGGGAAACCCUGAUCCAGCCGACGCCGCGUGAGUGAAGAAGUGUUUCGGCAUGUAAAGCUCUAUCAGCAGGGAAGAAAAUGACGGUACCUGACUAAGAAGCCCCGGCUAACUACGUGCCAGCCGCUGC
This 501-nucleotide ribosomal RNA is filed under the name uncultured bacterium. RNAcentral's name for it is "bacterial SSU rRNA". It matches the Rfam family "Bacterial small subunit ribosomal RNA", at positions 16 to 518 of the family's 1533-position model. The record is from RNAcentral.